UUGACCUCGGAUCAGGUAGGGAUACCCGCUGAACUUAAGCAUAUCAAUAAGCGGAGGAAAAGAAACCAACAGGGAUUGCCUCAGUACGCGAUA
RNAcentral lists this ribosomal RNA (93 nucleotides) under Ramalina conduplicans. RNAcentral's name for it is "partial 28S ribosomal RNA". It matches the Rfam family "Eukaryotic large subunit ribosomal RNA", at positions 1 to 94 of the family's 3401-position model. Lineage: Eukaryota; Fungi; Ascomycota; Lecanoromycetes; Lecanorales; Ramalinaceae. The record is from RNAcentral.